GAGUGUUAGUGUUAUAUUCUUACAUUAAGAUUACCUCAGUGUUAGUGUUUUAUUCUACAUUAGAGAUUACCUCAGUGCUGUUAGUGUUUUAUACAUUAGAGAUUACCUCAGAGUGUUAGUGUUUUAUUCUACAUUAGAGAUUACCUCAGUGUUAGUGUUUUAUUCUACAUUAGAGAUUACCUCAUGUUUAGUUAAUUUCUACAUUAGAAAUUACCUCAGUGUUAGUGUUGAGUGUUAGUGUUUUAUUCUACAUUAGAGAUUACCUCAGAGUGUUAGUGUUUUAUUCUACAUUAGAGAUUACCUCAGAGUGUUAGUGUUUAUUCUACAUUAG
This is a long non-coding RNA of Ictalurus punctatus (channel catfish), 331 nucleotides long. The record is from Ensembl. NCBI's taxonomy places the organism in Eukaryota, Metazoa, Chordata, Actinopteri, Siluriformes, Ictaluridae.